UCCCUUCGGGGAAGGAUUAGCGGCGAACGGGUGAGGAACACGUGAGGAAUCUGCCUUCAACACUGGGAUAACUCCGGGAAACCGGGGCUAAUACCGGAUACGAGACCUGCAGGCAUCUGCGGGUCUGGAAAGUUUUUCGGUUGAAGAUGACCUCGCGGCCUAUCAGCUUGUUGGUGAGGUAAUGGCUCACCAAGGCGACGACGGGUAGCCGGCCUGAGAGGGCGACCGGCCACACUGGGACUGAGACACGGCCCAGACUCCUACGGGAGGCAGCAGUGGGGAAUAUUGGGCAAUGGAGGGAACUCUGACCCAGCGACGCCGCGUGCGGGAUGAAGGCCUUCGGGUUGUAAACCGCUUUCAGCAAGGAAGAAGCGAAAGUGACGGUACUUGCAGAAGAAGCACCGGCUAACUAUGUGCCAGCAGCCGCGGUAAUACAUAGGGUGCAAGCGUUGUCCGGAAUUAUUGGGCGUAAAGAGCUCGUAGGUGGUUCGUCACGUCGGAUGUGAAAAUCUGGGGCUUAACCCCAGACCUGCAUUCGAUACGGGCGAGCUAGAGUGUGGUAGGGGAGACUGGAAUUCCUGGUGUAGCGGUGGAAUGCGCAGAUAUCAGGAGGAACACCAAUGGCGAAGGCAGGUCUCUGGGCCAUUACUGACACUGAGGAGCGAAAGCGUGGGGAGCGAACAGGAUUAGAUACCCUGGUAGUCCACGCCGUAAACGGUGGGCACUAGUUGUGGGAACCUUCCACGGUUUCUGCGACGCAGCUAACGCAUUAAGUGCCCCGCCUGGGGAGUACGAUCGCAAGAUUAAAACUCAAAGGAAUUGACGGGGCCCCGCACAAGCAGC
RNAcentral lists this ribosomal RNA (843 nucleotides) under uncultured organism. RNAcentral describes it as "bacterial SSU rRNA". It matches the Rfam family "Bacterial small subunit ribosomal RNA", at positions 75 to 933 of the family's 1533-position model. The record is from RNAcentral.